GAUAAACGCUAGCGGCAGGCUUAACACAUGCAAGUCGAGGGGCAGCAUAGAUUGUAGCAAUACAAUUGGUGGCGACCGGCGCACGGGUGCGUAACGCGUAUGCAACCUACCCGUCACAGGGGGAUAAUCCGGAAAAAUCUGGUCUAAUACCCCAUAACAUAUGGAUCGGCAUCGGUUCAUGUUGAAAUUUUCGGAGGUGACGGAUGGGCAUGCGUAGCAUUAGCUUGUUGGUGAGGUAACGGCUCACCAAGGCGACGAUGCUUAGGGGGACUGAGAGGUUUUCCCCCCACACUGGUACUGAGACACGGACCAGACUCCUACGGGAGGCAGCAGUGAGGAAUAUUGGUCAAUGGGCGCAAGCCUGAGCCAGCCAUGCCGCGUGCAGGAUGACGGCUCUAUGAGUUGUAAACUGCUUUUGUACGAGGGUAAAGUGGGUUACGUGUAACCUUUUGGAAGUAUCGUACGAAUAAGGAUCGGCUAACUCCGUGCCAGCCGCCGCAGUAA
Molecule: ribosomal RNA, 504 nt
Filed under: uncultured bacterium
Lineage: Bacteria
Description: partial 16S ribosomal RNA
Rfam family: Bacterial small subunit ribosomal RNA
Source: RNAcentral